UGUCGAAGGAGAUGUAGUGUAACAUACGAACCUAGAAUUUAGGUUAAUUCAGUUAGAAUUAUUUAGUUAUGUUCUGAUUAUAUUUAUUCUUUUUAUUAAUUACUUAUUUAUUUAUUUUCAGAUACGUAUAAUUAUCUUUUUGUUAAAUCAGAUAAUGAACCAGAUUAAUUAGUUUUUAGGUGGUUUCCUUUUAUCUUGUAAUCUUUGUUAUUAUCGGAUAGGUUUAAAAGUUUUUGAAAAGAUUCUAAGAUCAAAACCAAAUCAGAUCUAGCUAAUCCCCUGAAAACUCUAGCUAAUCUCCUGAAAACUCUAGCUAAUCUCCUGAAAACCCACGUAAAACCCUUUCCCUCACCUUUAUAAAAUCUUACCAGACCCUCAGAAUAAUGUUUCAGAAAUUUUAGUUGACAAAGAGGGAAAAGAAAAGGAUAGCACUCGUGCAGCCCCUUCUUUUCUGUUACCCAGCCACCUCAUCAGAGCACCUUCAGAUCUACACAGACACUGCCAGUCAACCACUUCGUUGAACACCCCACUAUCUGGUCACGAGCUACGACGUGAGUAUUCGGAAGCAGCGCUAAGAGAUGGUGAUUAUGAUGAUGC
Molecule: long non-coding RNA, 597 nt
Organism: Carya illinoinensis
Lineage: Eukaryota; Viridiplantae; Streptophyta; Magnoliopsida; Fagales; Juglandaceae
Exons: 3
Source: RefSeq, a predicted model, not a curated record